Molecule: ribosomal RNA, 1546 nt
Filed under: Neisseria gonorrhoeae
Lineage: Bacteria; Pseudomonadati; Pseudomonadota; Betaproteobacteria; Neisseriales; Neisseriaceae
Description: bacterial SSU rRNA
Rfam family: Bacterial small subunit ribosomal RNA
Source: RNAcentral
AUUGAACAUAAGAGUUUGAUCCUGGCUCAGAUUGAACGCUGGCGGCAUGCUUUACACAUGCAAGUCGGACGGCAGCACAGGGAAGCUUGCUUCUCGGGUGGCGAGUGGCGAACGGGUGAGUAACAUAUCGGAACGUACCGGGUAGCGGGGGAUAACUGAUCGAAAGAUCAGCUAAUACCGCAUACGUCUUGAGAGGGAAAGCAGGGGACCUUCGGGCCUUGCGCUAUCCGAGCGGCCGAUAUCUGAUUAGCUGGUUGGCGGGGUAAAGGCCCACCAAGGCGACGAUCAGUAGCGGGUCUGAGAGGAUGAUCCGCCACACUGGGACUGAGACACGGCCCAGACUCCUACGGGAGGCAGCAGUGGGGAAUUUUGGACAAUGGGCGCAAGCCUGAUCCAGCCAUGCCGCGUGUCUGAAGAAGGCCUUCGGGUUGUAAAGGACUUUUGUCAGGGAAGAAAAGGCCGUUGCCAAUAUCGGCGGCCGAUGACGGUACCUGAAGAAUAAGCACCGGCUAACUACGUGCCAGCAGCCGCGGUAAUACGUAGGGUGCGAGCGUUAAUCGGAAUUACUGGGCGUAAAGCGGGCGCAGACGGUUACUUAAGCAGGAUGUGAAAUCCCCGGGCUCAACCCGGGAACUGCGUUCUGAACUGGGUGACUCGAGUGUGUCAGAGGGAGGUGGAAUUCCACGUGUAGCAGUGAAAUGCGUAGAGAUGUGGAGGAAUACCGAUGGCGAAGGCAGCCUCCUGGGAUAACACUGACGUUCAUGUCCGAAAGCGUGGGUAGCAAACAGGAUUAGAUACCCUGGUAGUCCACGCCCUAAACGAUGUCAAUUAGCUGUUGGGCAACUUGAUUGCUUGGUAGCGUAGCUAACGCGUGAAAUUGACCGCCUGGGGAGUACGGUCGCAAGAUUAAAACUCAAAGGAAUUGACGGGGCCGCACAAGCGGUGGAUGAUGUGGAUUAAUUCGAUGCAACGCGAAGAACCUUACCUGGUUUUGACAUGUGCGGAAUCCUCCGGAGACGGAGGAGUGCCUUCGGGAGCCGUAACACAGGUGCUGCAUGGCUGUCGUCAGCUCGUGUCGUGAGAUGUUGGGUUAAGUCCCGCAACGAGCGCAACCCUUGUCAUUAGUUGCCAUCAUUCGGUUGGGCACUCUAAUGAGACUGCCGGUGACAAGCCGGAGGAAGGUGGGGAUGACGUCAAGUCCUCAUGGCCCUUAUGACCAGGGCUUCACACGUCAUACAAUGGUCGGUACAGAGGGUAGCCAAGCCGCGAGGCGGAGCCAAUCUCACAAAACCGAUCGUAGUCCGGAUUGCACUCUGCAACUCGAGUGCAUGAAGUCGGAAUCGCUAGUAAUCGCAGGUCAGCAUACUGCGGUGAAUACGUUCCCGGGUCUUGUACACACCGCCCGUCACACCAUGGGAGUGGGGGAUACCAGAAGUAGGUAGGGUAACCGCAAGGAGCCCGCUUACCACGGUAUGCUUCAUGACUGGGGUGAAGUCGUAACAAGGUAGCCGUAGGGGAACCUGCGGCUGGAUCACCUCCUUUCUAG